This 1395-nucleotide long non-coding RNA is filed under the name Linum usitatissimum (flax). RNAcentral describes it as "long non-coding RNA (LUSI_LNC005982)". The record is from RNAcentral. Lineage: Eukaryota; Viridiplantae; Streptophyta; Magnoliopsida; Malpighiales; Linaceae.
UGCUAUAGGAGUCAGCAUGGUGAAAAGGUUAGCUUUCCAUGCUCAGCUCGACAUUAGUAUUGUGUUUUUAUUGGUACUAACUGUGUUAUACUUUGUCUGUUGCAAGAUGCAUCGUUUUGUCAUGGCACCUUUAGAGUACAGUCAACUUCUUCCUAUAUAAUUGGUAAGCUACACUGUUCUUUAGUCUUUGUGGGCGACAUUGAUAUUCUGUUUGUUAUUGAUACUAACUUUAUUAGUUUUUGUCUUGUAACGAGAUGCAUAUGGUACUUUUACGGCAAAGUCGACGGAACUGGGUAAGCUGCACUGUUCUUUAGUCUUUUGGUUUUGGAAUGGAGUUCUACAGUUUGUCAGCUCAACAUUGAUAUUGUGUUUUUUUUUCUAUGACGAGAUGCAUCCAACUUGUUCCUAUAAAACUGGUAAGCUGCACUAUUCUUUAGGCUUUUGUUUUGGAAUGGAGUUUGCCUCAGCUGUAUUGAGGAUUCUUCUGUAAUUCGCUGAUGUGAUUGUGAAUUUCUUAUUGGGAUUUUUUCAGACUUCCAAGGGAGGCUUUCUGAGUUGGAAUUUCAGGUAUGCCAUUGUUCUGUAAUGAAGCUAUGGACAUGGUUUGCAGCAGAUGUGUCCAGUUUGUGGUCUGAAUGAAGCUAUGGACAUGGUUGACCAUAUAACAUCACAGCACGGAGGCAUGUUUUAAGAUAUCCUUGGCAGUCGGCACCAUUCUGUAUUCUAUUAUGUUGGCCCUGAUGUGUACUUGUAUGGAUGAUGAUAUUGCUCAAGGAGCGGAGGAUUGAGUUUAGUUUGUACUUUGUACAGAUGGAGUUUUGAUGUUCAGCAAUGACUCGUGAGCUCUCAUUCUGGAGAAUAACGGAUGAAGAAUUUGCAGCUUCUAGUUCAACAAAUGAAAAGUAAUUCUUUUUUUACAUGUGUUCAUAGGAAUAUGUUUGUAGAAACUAGAAACUGUGUACUCCAAGUGCCUUUUCACAACACUGGAUUGGAUUCUUUUAAUUGAAGUAACUAAUAAGCUAUCAUCACAUUUCAUCAUCAUCAAUUGAAAACCACAUUACAUUGUUGUUUGUCUGUCUAAUUCACAUUCUCUACAAAAGCAAACUAAAAAUCGUAACUCUCCUUCCUUGUCUAAUUUGUCACAGUAUAUUCCACACCUUCAAGCAAUUCAAUAUAACAAAGGAUGCACCGUAGCCAUCCAUUUUCAUUGCUGCUCCUGCUGUUAACAAGUUUGAUGUCAGGGAUCCACAAAUGGCUAUUCCAUUCCAUAGCUGCUGUUAAUCAGCCACCCCGCUGAGAGGAACUCCCCUGAUCAACAAAGGCAAAGCCACAACGAUCAUAAUAAACUACCCAGAAAUCAAAAUCUAACAAAAUCAAUCACACCACCAGUAGCUU